CUGCUGCCUCCCGUAGGAGUUUGGGCCGUGUCUCAGUCCCAAUGUGGCCGGUCACCCUCUCAGGUCGGCUACUGAUCGUUGCCUUGGUGAGCCGUUACCUCUCCAACUAGCUAAUCAGACGCGGGUCCAUCUCAUACCACCUCAGUUUUUCACACCAAGCCAUGCGGUUUUGUGCGCUUAUGCGGUAUUAGCAGUCAUUUCUAACUGUUAUCCCCCUGUAUGAGGCGGGUUACCCACGCGUUACUCACCCGUCCG
Molecule: ribosomal RNA, 255 nt
Filed under: uncultured bacterium
Lineage: Bacteria
Description: partial 16S ribosomal RNA
Source: RNAcentral